CAGGGGUGCAUGGGCGGCAUCGGCGCGCUGGCAGUGGCGUCCGGAAGCUGUGAGGCCUUUCCCUUUUCGUCCGUUUCCCUUUUCCUUCUGCGAUAGGAGAGACUGGGGGAGACUUAGUGUACCCGCUCCAAAUUUCGACUGCCCAGGUGCAACUCUACUAUUUGAAAGGAACCUUUCAAUUUACAAGCUGUCUAUUUCUUCUCCUUCUUUCUGAUGAUUCUGCUGAAUCUGAAGAGUCACCAGAAGUAACACCUGAAGAAAUACCAGCACUUGUCUUGUGGGUUCCAAGAUAAGCUGUCCUACUUGAGGUAGACUGGGUAGGAGAACCUACCAACUCAGGAAUUAUUUUUGUCUGAGAUUUUAACCUCUUCUGCUUGAGGUUUCUGGUCAAACAUAUGAACAAAGGAAACAGUAUUUAACAAAAUAUAAAGAUAACUAGUUCACAGAGAAUGACUAAAUAGAAGUGUAUCGUAUUUGUUAAACUGAGGAAUUUUAUGAUCAAAACAUUAAAAUAUUCACUAUUAACAUUUUAUUCUGGAACUGAUUAUUAGUAGUAUUUCCUAACUCUAUAUUUAACACACUGUUAUUCAAAUUUGGAGUAAUGAACAAAUGUUCCAAGUAAGAGUUACAGAAAAUUAUUUGAAUACCUUACGUUCUUUGGAUUAAAUGCUAAGAGGAAUCAACAUUUAUGUAAUAUAGGCAUUCAUUCAUACUACCAAUUUAAGCCUCAAUAGAACCCAACUUUCUCCUCUCUUAUUUAUAUGUCCCUAAAGACAGAAUAAGGUUAAGAGGAGAAAUCAACACAACCUAAACAGGAAAAGUUAAAAAAAGGAAUCAGAACAAAAUGAUUUUUGUCCCAAGACCAGACUAUUUACAUCUAACUGCACCCAUCCACCAUGGUUGGCCCCUAGGCCAGGAAUUACGGGAAAAGAGAGUAGAAGUUUAAGGCAUGUGAGAAAUCUGGGUGAAUGAAUAUUGAGAUAAUCCUAUUUUCCUUUAAAACAAUAAGAAAUGGCUGAAAACGCCUGUAAUCCCAGCACUUUAGAAGGCCAAGGCAGGUGGAUCAAUUGAAGCCAGAGUUCAAACACUAGCCUGGGCAACAUAGCAUGACCCCAUGCCUACAAAAAAUUUAAAAAUUAGCUGGGCGUAGUUGUGUACACCUACAACUAUAGCUACUCAAGAGACCUGUAUUAGCCCAGGAGCUUGACAUUACGACGAACUAUGAUCACACCGUGCACUCCAGCCUGGACAACAGAGACAGACCCUGCUUCUUAAAACAAAAGCAAAACAGCCUUUUAAGUGGUAUCUAGACAUUGAAGCUUAAAGUUAAUCACAAUUCUUUAAAGAAAUAAUUGUCUGUAUAAAAAAACUCAAGCCUGUAAUAUCAAAAAUUUUAAAUGCCAUUAAUCAUCAAGGGAGAGAACAAAAGUAAAUAUAAGGGCCGGGCACAGUGGCUUACGCAGGUAAUCCCAGCACUCUGGAAGCCCGAGGCGGGUGGGUCAUCUGAGGUCAGGAGUUCGAGACAAGC
Molecule: long non-coding RNA, 1528 nt
Organism: Piliocolobus tephrosceles (Ugandan red Colobus)
Lineage: Eukaryota; Metazoa; Chordata; Mammalia; Primates; Cercopithecidae
Exons: 3
Source: RefSeq, a predicted model, not a curated record